Molecule: ribosomal RNA, 366 nt
Filed under: Pseudomonas sp.
Lineage: Bacteria; Pseudomonadati; Pseudomonadota; Gammaproteobacteria; Pseudomonadales; Pseudomonadaceae
Description: bacterial SSU rRNA
Rfam family: Bacterial small subunit ribosomal RNA
Source: RNAcentral
GUUCGGAAACGGACGCUAAUACCGCAUACGUCCUACGGGAGAAAGCAGGGGACCUUCGGGCCUUGCGCUAUCAGAUGAGCCUAGGUCGGAUUAGCUAGUUGGUGGGGUAAUGGCUCACCAAGGCGACGAUCCGUAACUGGUCUGAGAGGAUGAUCAGUCACACUGGAACUGAGACACGGUCCAGACUCCUACGGGAGGCAGCAGUGGGGAAUAUUGGACAAUGGGCGAAAGCCUGAUCCAGCCAUGCCGCGUGUGUGAAGAAGGUCUUCGGAUUGUAAAGCACUUUAAGUUGGGAGGAAGGGUUGUAGAUUAAUACUCUGCAAUUUUGACGUUACCGACAGAAUAAGCACCGGCUAACUCUGUGCC